AUUAUGCAGGGCUAGCCAAAGGAGCCUAAACCAUGUAGGACAAAAUUGCAAAGAUAUAGACAUUAUUAUUUUUAACUUUUGUUUUAGUUUGUCAUCUAUAUCUGGGCUUUUUAUGCUCAGGAAAAACGUGGAACUCACUAUGAAAUGCAGAAUCUCUGCAAAUCAGUCCCGAGAGCCCCCACGAUCCUUCACUGAAGUCAAGGAAUCGAACACUCAGCUCGUAGAGCGGAUUGCUCAUUCCUCGCAGCUGAUAUCACAUGGGGGCCUACACUGGUCUGGAGUAAAGAGAAAUAAAUCGGAAACUUGCGAUAACUCUAGAACCAUGGUCCUUAAAGUACGGCUCCCCAACCAGCACCAUCAGUUUCACCUGGGAACUUGUUAGAAAUGCAGUUUCUCAGAACCCAGCCCAGACCUGCUCUGUCAGAAGCUCUAGGGGUGCCUCGUAUUCUCCAUUUAGCAAGUUCUCCAGUUGAUUCUGCUGCAGGCUGAACUUUGAGAACCACUGCUCUGGAUAAGAUUGAAGGCAAUUCCCGAAAGCUGAAGAGAGAUCACCAUAGACAUGUGGCAUCAUCUGUAUAUCCUCUAGUAGAAAGCAGGAGCCGCACUCCCCAGGUCUAGAACCGGAAGUGCGCCUCAUUAUGAAAUGAGCUCUAUCUUUAUUCACUCUCUACCUUAGUUUGUCAUUUACAACACAAUCUGAGAAGUCUGCAAGGCAAGGACUUGGCUGCCAUUUUCCCUCAACCCUCCACAAUACCUAGUGGAAAGUCAUUCACAAGGCCACAUUUGAAGCUUUGCAAAGAUACGUGCAAGGCCCUAGACCAAGAAUCAGCAGCAUUGGCUGAGGGUUUCACAUCUUCUGAUUAUCUUUUGCUACAAACGUGGUUAUUUAUGUACUCCCAAUUACAAUCUUGUAAUUUUACCUUCCAUAGGGAAUAUCGCACUAAGCCAGUCAUUUAGACCACAAGAAAUUAAAAAAUUAAAUCAAGCUAGGAAAUCCUGGGUACAAAUUUUGUCCAUUGUGGCACUUUAUAGGUGGCCAGCUCAAGUGGUAGAUAUCUUACUCUCUGAAGUUCACCCCUCUCUCAUCCCUAUGGCAGCUCAACUUUCUAUUAGAUUCCAAUUCUUGAGAAAACAAAGCCAGCCUUUCUGCCUCAUUUUUGGGGCACAAUCCUAGAGUGAAGAUAAAAUCAUUUUCCAUAUCACUUCCUAACACCCCAGUGUGGGCAGAGGAGAGUAGGGCUUUAAGGGUAGAAAAGCAAAAGUAGGAUCUUCUUGGCAAGAAGAGAAAAAUACAUAAACCUGUUGGAAAAUAAAACAAAAACUUCUCACCCAUCAAAUGACCACUCCAUCCAGCAACAGAGUUUAAAAUACUUCGAAGAGCCAUACUACGUUGGAAACAGUAAACUCUGGAUUCAAAUAUACUGUUGGUAUUCAGAGUCUCAGAACAAUCCUCAAGUCCCAGCUUUGCUCCACUUAUGCUCAUAUUUUCAGUAAGUUAUGGCUAACAAUCACCUAAUAUGUUUUGACUGUCAAACUUUUAUGCAAUUGGUAAUGAUCCUUCCAGAAUGGUUUCUGUGGCCAAUGAAGCUUUCACCCAUAAACCAUAGGCUCAGAAAGGAAACAGGGAAUGGCCAAGGCAUUUUGUGCCUGCAUUUGUAUUCAUUUGUAUACAGACCCAUAAUUUCUAAUAUUGUAUCCUUUCAUUCUCUAAAUGUCACUCAAACACUACAGUAAUGCAUAUGGUUCUGAAUAACACCAAGGACUUAAAAAUAAAACUCUUGUCCUUGUCAUAUCUUGGAAAAUGAUUAUAUCAACGGUAGCCAGUUAAGAACAAAGACAUGGGGUAGGAAGUCCCAAACCUGGAACUCCCUGUGUCCUACUCUUACUGUUAUGGCAAGAGGCCGAAAUAUUCAUCAAGUGUAGCAUGUUCAUCAGCGGGUGGUUCAGUAAAGCAGUUCUUGUCAGGGAAGCCAAAGACGUGAUAAUGGUCAGCCUAGCCUAAUUAUGGGGAGUCUGGAAGGAAGGAAGGCCAGGAUUCACCAUUGAUCAUUUGGAUCACCAGGCAUUGCUUACAAGCCAGGUUUCAUGAACAGGAAUCCAGCCUCAUGAAGAUGCGGCUUAGCUGGCAGGAUUAUUUGGAGUGAAUGGGGGCAGAAGAGUGGAUUGGAGUGGUAGUUGCAGUAAUAACACCAGCAACAAUG
This is a long non-coding RNA of Equus asinus (donkey), 2201 nucleotides long. The record is from Ensembl. NCBI's taxonomy places the organism in Eukaryota, Metazoa, Chordata, Mammalia, Perissodactyla, Equidae.